Molecule: ribosomal RNA, 911 nt
Filed under: uncultured archaeon
Lineage: Archaea
Description: bacterial SSU rRNA
Rfam family: Archaeal small subunit ribosomal RNA
Source: RNAcentral
CGGUUGAUCCUGCCGGAGGUCACUGCUAUUGGGAUUCGACUAAGCCAUGCGAGUCGAGAGGGUUCGGCCCUCGGCAGACGGCUCAGUAACACGUGGAUAAUCUGCCCUUAGGUGGAGGAUAACCUCGGGAAACUGAGAAUAAUACUCCAUAGAUCUAGGAUGCUGGAAUGCACUUAGAUUGAAAGUUCCGGCGCCUAAGGAUGAGUCUGCGGACUAUCAGGUAGUAGUCAGGGUAAAGGCCUGACUAGCCUACGACGGAUACGGGUUGUGAGAGCAAUAACCCGGAGACGAUAUCUGAGACACGAUAUCGGGCCCUACGGGGCGCAGCAGGCGCGAAACCUUCACAAUGUGCGAAAGCGCGAUGAGGGGAUCCCAAGUGCUUGCUCGUAAGAGUAAGCUGUUUUUAUGUCUAAAACGCAUAGAGAGUAAGGGCUGGGUAAGACGGGUGCCAGCCGCCGCGGUAAUACCUGCAGCUCAAGUGGUGACCGCUAUUAUUGGGCCUAAAACGUUCGUAGCCGGUUUGGUAAAUGCCUGGGUAAAUCGUGUAGCUUAACUAUACGAAUUCCGGGUAGACUGCCAAACUUGAGACCGGGAGAAGCUAGAGGUACUCCUUGGGUAGAGGUGAAAUUCUGUAAUCCUGGGGGGACCACCAGUGGCGAAGGCGUCUAGCUAGAACGGGUUUGACGGUGAGGAACGAAGCCCUGGGGCGCAACCCGGAUUAGAUACCCGGGUAGUCCAGGGUGUAAACGCUGCUUGCUUGAUGUUAGUUGGGCUCCGAGCCCAAUUAGUGUCGGAGAGAAGCUGUUAAGCAAGCUGCCUGGGAAGUACGAUCGCAAGAUUGAAACUUAAAGGAAUUGGCGGGGGAGCACAGCAACGGGUGGAGCGUGCGGUUUAAUUGGAUUCAACGCCGG